UUUACAAUAGCUUAUUUAAAGUGUAGUAUUGAAGCUACUAAGAAAAAAUUCUUUUUGUAAAA
Molecule: transfer RNA, 62 nt
Filed under: Gyraulus sp. GE1
Lineage: Eukaryota; Metazoa; Mollusca; Gastropoda; Planorbidae
Description: tRNA-Phe
Source: RNAcentral